CACUUGAGCAACCUGCCCCUGACUCUGGGAUAAGCGCUGGAAACGGCGUCUAAUAUUGGAUAUGUGAUGUGACCGCAUGGUCUGCGUCUGGAAAGAAUUUCGCUUGGGGAUGGGCUCGCGGCCUAUCAGCUUGCUGGUGAGGUAAUGGCUCACCAAGGCGUCGACGGGUAGCCGGCCUGAGAGGGUGACCGGCCACACUGGGACUGAGACACGGCCCAGACUCCUACGGGAGGCAGCAGUGGGGAAUAUUGCACAAUGGGCGCAAGCCUGAUGCAGCAACGCCGCGUGAGGGACGACGGCCUUCGGGUUGUAAACCUCUUUUAGCAGGGAAGAAGCGAAAGUGACGGUACCUGCAGAAAAAGCGCCGGCUAACUACGUGCCAGCAGCCGCGGUAAUACGUAGGGCGCAAGCGUUAUCCGGAAUUAUUGGGCGUAAAGAGCUCGUAGGCGGUUUGUCGCGUCUGCUGUGAAAUCCGGAGGCUCAACCUCCGGCCUGCAGUGGGUACGGGCAGA
This 512-nucleotide ribosomal RNA is filed under the name Microbacterium sp. Its description in RNAcentral is "bacterial SSU rRNA". It matches the Rfam family "Bacterial small subunit ribosomal RNA", at positions 114 to 640 of the family's 1533-position model. The record is from RNAcentral. Lineage: Bacteria; Bacillati; Actinomycetota; Actinomycetes; Micrococcales; Microbacteriaceae.